GACGAACGCUGGCGGCGUGCUUAACACAUGCAAGUCGAACGGAAAGAGAGGAUUUUGCUCGUCUGGAUUAGGGGCGAACGGGUGUGUAACACGUGAGCAAUCUGCCCCUGACUCGGGUAUAACUAGGGGAAACUGUAGCUAAUACCGGAGAUGCUCCUGCCAGACAGCGGGAGCGGGAGGGAAUCAGUGCGGGGAGGUCUGAUCGCGGGGCCUCUGAGCUUGUUGGUGGGGUAACGGCUCCCCAAGGCGGCGACGGGUAGCCGGCCUGAGAGGGUAACCGGCAACAUUGGGACUGAGACACGGCCCAGCCUCCUACGGGGGGAAGCAGUGGGGAAUAUUGCACAAUGGGCGCAAGCCUGAUGAAGAAACGCCGGGUGAGGGAUGACGGCCUUCGGGUUGUAAACGUCUUUUAGCAGGGAAGAAGCGAGAGUGACGGUACCUGCUGAAGAAGCGCCGGCUAACUACGUG
RNAcentral lists this ribosomal RNA (468 nucleotides) under uncultured bacterium. Its description in RNAcentral is "partial 16S ribosomal RNA". It matches the Rfam family "Bacterial small subunit ribosomal RNA", at positions 28 to 507 of the family's 1533-position model. The record is from RNAcentral.